RNAcentral lists this ribosomal RNA (520 nucleotides) under uncultured bacterium. RNAcentral's name for it is "bacterial SSU rRNA". It matches the Rfam family "Bacterial small subunit ribosomal RNA", at positions 28 to 594 of the family's 1533-position model. The record is from RNAcentral.
AUUGAACGCUGGCGGCGUGGCUAAAGCAUGCAAGUCGAACGGGUCCGCAAGGACCAGUGGCGGAAGGGUCAGUAACACGAUCGAACGUACCCCGAGGUGGGGGAUAGCGGCGGGAAACUGCCGGUAAUACCCCAUGAUCUCUCCGGAGCAAAGGUUUACCGCCUUGGGCUCGGCGAUCGUCCUAUCAGCUAGUUGGCGGGGUAACGGCCCACCAAGGCUAUGACGGGUAGCAGGUGUGAGAGCACGACCUGCGACAUCGGGACUGAGACACUGCCCGGACUCCUACGGGAGGCUGCAGCGACGAAUCUUCCGCAAUGGGGGCAACCCCGACGGAGCGACGCCGCGUGCGGGAUGAAGCGCCUACGGCGUGUAAACCGCUGUCAGGGGACAGAACCAAUGAUCGUCCCCAGAGGAAGAGACGGCUAACCCUGUGCCAGCAGCCGCGGUAAGACAGGGGUCUCGAGCGUUAAUCGGAAUCACUGGGCUUAAAGGGUGCGUAGGCGGACCGACACGCGUCCCG